GACGAACGCUGGCGGCGUGCUUAACACAUGCAAGUCGAACGGAAAGGCCCUGCUUUUGUGGGGUGCUCGAGUGGCGAACGGGUGAGUAACACGUGAGUAACCUGCCCUUGACUUUGGGAUAACUUCAGGAAACUGGGGCUAAUACCGGAUAGGAGCUCCUGCUGCAUGGUGGGGGUUGGAAAGUUUCGGCGGUUGGGGAUGGACUCGCGGCUUAUCAGCUUGUUGGUGGGGUAGUGGCUUACCAAGGCUUUGACGGGUAGCCGGCCUGAGAGGGUGACCGGCCACAUUGGGAGUGAGAUACGGCCCAGACUCCUACGGGAGGCAGGAGUGGGGAAUAUUGCACAAUGGGCGGAAGCCAGAUGCAGCAACGCCGGGUGCGGGAUGACGGCAUUCGGGUUGGAAACCGCUUUCGCCUGUGACAAAGCGUGAGGGACGGUAAUGGGUAAAGAAGCACCGGCUAACUACGU
Molecule: ribosomal RNA, 467 nt
Filed under: uncultured bacterium
Lineage: Bacteria
Description: partial 16S ribosomal RNA
Rfam family: Bacterial small subunit ribosomal RNA
Source: RNAcentral